GCUGGUUUAGUAUAGUGGCAAUACAGAAGCAUGGUAAGCUUCAGCGAACAGUUCAAUUCUGUUAACCAGCACCA
Molecule: transfer RNA, 74 nt
Filed under: Bacilli bacterium
Lineage: Bacteria; Bacillati; Bacillota; Bacilli
Also listed under: 1 other name
Description: tRNA-Thr
Rfam family: tRNA
About the family: Transfer RNA (tRNA) molecules are approximately 80 nucleotides in length. Their secondary structure includes four short double-helical elements and three loops (D, anti-codon, and T loops). Further hydrogen bonds mediate the characteristic L-shaped molecular structure. tRNAs have two regions of fundamental functional importance: the anti-codon, which is responsible for specific mRNA codon recognition, and the 3' end, to which the tRNAs corresponding amino acid is attached (by aminoacyl-tRNA synthetases). tRNAs cope with the degeneracy of the genetic code in two manners: having more than one tRNA (with a specific anti-codon) for a particular amino acid; and 'wobble' base-pairing, i.e. permitting non-standard base-pairing at the 3rd anti-codon position.
Source: RNAcentral